CCAAUAGCGUAUAUUAAAGUUGUUGCAGUUAAAAAGCUCGUAGUUGAAUUUCGGGAUUAAUAUGUCGGUCGUGCCUUGGUACGUAUUGGCAUCGUUGGUUUCUCUCUUCUGAUGAACCAUGAUGUCAUUUAUUUGGUGUCGUGGGGAAUCAGGACUGUUACUUUGAAAAAAUUAGAGUGUUUAAAGCAGGCCCACGCUUGAAUACAUUAGCAUGGAAUAAUGAAAUAGGACGUUUGAUUCUAUUUUGUUGGUUUCUAGGAUCGACGUAAUGAUUAAUAGGGAUAGUUGGGGGCAUUAGUAUUCAAUUGUCAGAGGUGAAAUUCUUGGAUUUAUUGAAGACUAACUACUGCGAAAGCAUUUGCCAAGGAUGUUUUCAUUAAUCAAGAACGAAAGUUAGGGGAUCGAAGACGAUCAGAUACCGUCGUAGUCUUAACCAUAAACUAUGCCGACUAGGGAUCGGAUGAUGUUAAUUUUUUAAUGACUCAUUCGGCGCCUUACG
RNAcentral lists this ribosomal RNA (499 nucleotides) under uncultured Glomeromycotina. RNAcentral describes it as "partial small subunit ribosomal RNA". It matches the Rfam family "Eukaryotic small subunit ribosomal RNA", at positions 591 to 1092 of the family's 1831-position model. Lineage: Eukaryota; Fungi; Glomeromycota. The record is from RNAcentral.